ACUCUGCAACGGCUUCCCACAGGAAGGGGAGCGGGGUCAGAGAAAGGUCAAAUCAUUGAGACUACAACCAGCUGGACCUUGGAGAAUAACAGGAGCCUUUGUUCCCACCUGGGCUGUCCUCAGCAUCCUGGCCUCCUCAUCUGUGACACAGCAAGGGUGCAAUUGGAACACAAGGCUUCCUGCGUUGUCUGACCCAGAGGACACUCCAGACAUACAGCUUAGCUUCCACGACUCAGUUACAGGGGUGCCUUGUGGGGAUGUCCAAGUCUCUCCGUUUCACCCACUGUGGUUCCUACCUCUGUAAGAUGGAAGCAUGUGUGGUGGCGAUGCUUGUGAGAGUUCCCAGAGCUGAUAGCUGAGGCAGGCAGUACAAUCGCUCCUCAGAAAAGUCCACUCUGAACCCCGUACCUGUGACUGCAGCACCUUGUGUGGGAGACGUGGCCAUUCAGGAUCUUGAGGUAUAGGAAGAUGGCCCAGAAUCAUACAGAUGUUGAACUCUCAGCUCCUUCUCCAGAACCAUGUCUGCCUGCAUGCCAUCAUGUUUCCCGCCAUGAUGAAAAUGGACUGAACCUCCAAACUAAAUACCGCAGGAGAAAGAGGAAACCAUGGAAAGAGAACGCUGCUCUUCCCAGACUCUCAAUCCGAAACUCAGCUGCUGUCUCCACAGGCUUCUCCAGGCUGCUUCUGCUGGAUGCUGUAAGCCCUGGUUUGAUGAGGUUACCCUUUGUUUGCUCUCUCAAUCUGGCCACUCCAGUUGUCCACGAUGUGUGUUGUUAGCUCCUGAUGGGAUGGUGUUUGCGGCCUCUCUAUCUGCUCCUUGCUAUUUGUUUAUGCACUUCUGUUUGCUGUGCACUUAAUAAAUUCACUCAUUCAAAAUUGAAA
This is a long non-coding RNA of Mus musculus (house mouse), 882 nucleotides long. RefSeq annotates it as RIKEN cDNA 1700010B08 gene. NCBI's taxonomy places the organism in Eukaryota, Metazoa, Chordata, Mammalia, Rodentia, Muridae. The record is from RefSeq and is marked validated. The transcript is spliced from 3 exons.